UGUAGAGAUCCAUCCAUCAUGGAUCUUAGCAAGUUAGUGGGAGCUAUUUGCAUUUUAUGAGGAAAAAUGAUCAAAUCGUUUGAUUUCUCAUAAAGAUGUAAAUGAAUCUUUUGUUUACGAGUUUUACAAAAGAUUAGUGGGAGUUAAUCAUGUUCCUAAAAUUUAAAUAUAUAUGAUAUAUUAAUUUUGGAAAUGAAAAGAAUACUUCUUCGUUAAAGUUAUGACUUUAAUACAUUAUAUGAAGAUAGAAUGUAUAUGGGAGAUAUAGUCUAUAUACACGGGAUGGAAAUCUAUAAUGAUAUAUUUCAUGAUAUAAUUGGAUUAUAUCAAUCCCUAAUAAUAGACAAUGGAUGCUAGGAAGUUUCUCAUAUGAUGAUAAACUUCAAUAAGAAGGAUGACUCUAGUAAGACUAGUAAGUUGCCCUUCUCAAAGGUAACGUGCCCCUUUGACUCCCAAAGAAAUAAUGCGUAAAUUGAAUCCUUUAUGCAUACGCAGAAAGGUUAUUUAUGUAUUUCAUAUUGUAUGAAAACAUUGAUAUGAGUUGUACCUAGAACGGUACAAGACGAUAUCAGUGCAAGCCCAGGAUCAGAACCAUGGCAACUGUCAAGUGAGUCCUUAAGUAUUUAAGAAAUACUAAAGGAUAAAUUCCUCAAAGAUUGAGGAAGAAUCAAAGUAAUGUAAUGGAAGCGUAAAUGUAUUAGAUUAUGAAUCUAAUCCAUCAUUGGAUGUUUCUUCAUUAUGAAUGA
Molecule: long non-coding RNA, 746 nt
Filed under: Malus domestica (apple)
Lineage: Eukaryota; Viridiplantae; Streptophyta; Magnoliopsida; Rosales; Rosaceae
Description: long non-coding RNA (MDOM_LNC012962)
Source: RNAcentral